Molecule: unclassified non-coding RNA, 347 nt
Filed under: soil metagenome
Description: partial contains 5.8S ribosomal RNA, internal transcribed spacer 2, and large subunit ribosomal RNA
Rfam family: 5.8S ribosomal RNA (bases 1-120)
Source: RNAcentral
GAUGAAGAACGCAGCGAAAUGCGAUAACUAAUGUGAAUUGCAGAAUUCAGUGAAUCAUCGAGUCUUUGAACGCACAUUGCGCCCUCUGGUAUUCCGGAGGGCAUGCCUGUCCGAGCGUCAUUGCUGCCCUCCAGCCCGGCUGGUGUGUUGGGCCCCGUCCCCCUUCCCGGGGGGACGGGCCCGAAAGGCAGCGGCGGCACCGCGUCCGGUCCUCGAGCGUAUGGGGCUUUGUCACCCGCUCUUGUAGGCCCGGCCGGCGCCAGCCGACCCCCUCAAUCUAUUUUUCAGGUUGACCUCGGAUCAGGUAGGGAUACCCGCUGAACUUAAGCAUAUCAAUAAGCGGAGGA